This 465-nucleotide ribosomal RNA is filed under the name uncultured bacterium. RNAcentral's name for it is "partial 16S ribosomal RNA". It matches the Rfam family "Bacterial small subunit ribosomal RNA", at positions 28 to 507 of the family's 1533-position model. The record is from RNAcentral.
GACGAACGCUGGCGGCGUGCUUAACACAUGCAAGUCGAACGGAAAGGCCCCCUUUUUGGGUGCUCGACGGGCGAAGAGGGGGGGAGCACCACAGGAGUCUACCCUCCAUUUUGGGGUGACAUCAUGAAACUAGUGCGGAUACCACAUAGGAGGUGCUCCUGCAGCGUGGGGGUUGGAAGAUAUCGGCGGUUGGGGAUGGACUAGCGGCUUAUCAGCUUGUUGGUGGGGUAGUGGCUGACCAAGGCUUUGACGGGUAGCCGGCCUGAGAGGGUGACCGGCCACAUUGGGACUGAGAUACGGCCCAGACUCCUACGGGAGGCAGCAGUGGGGAAUAUUGCACAAUGGGCGGAAGCCUGAUGCAGCAACGCCGCGUGCGGGAUGACGGCCUUCGGGUUGUAAACCGCUUUCGCCUGUGACGAAGCGUGAGUGACGGUAAUGGGUAAAGAAGCACCGGCUAACUACGUG